ACAUAAUCAACAAUGCUUAAGGGGGUUUAGAAUAGGAUCCACAUAAUUUCAGGUCAUUCACAGAAUCAUACAAGUUUAGGGGUGCAAACUACUUCACAAGGAGACUCGUACAAGAAAUCAAAUAGUGCAAGAUCACAUGGAGAUAGACUACAUAGAGGGUAGGGUAACAUGUUUAUACUGAUCCUAAGGAAGUGGAGUUCAUGACAUGACAAUCAUGCAAUUAUAUUAACUGCCAGUUUCGAAACAAAAGCAUAAGUAAAAGCAAACUAGAAACAGGAGAAACUGAAACAAUAAAAGAAUCAUAUUGUAUUUGGAACUUUGAUUUGAAAUUAGAACAUACCAGUAAAUAAGACAGUAAAAAGUGAAGGAGUAGAAGAGCACAUUAGUUAGCCUUGGCUUGCAGCCGACUAACUUAGAAUAAUAGCAAGUAGCAUAAAAGAGAGAUCAGAAAGUUUAAGUUUGUGUGAGAGAGAUUUUUUAACCAAAGUGUUCGUGUUAAUGAGAGAGAGAGUGUGUAUAUAUAAUAGUUUGAAAAUUAGGUAAAAUAAGGCAAGAAUCAUUGUAUCGUAAUAAUUAUGGAACUCAAAACCAAUUAGAGCAAAAUCAGGACAAGUACUCCCUUAAGUUAAGAGAAUCAUUUCAAACGGUAAGAACAAGUUGCAUAUAAGGAAAGAAAUCAGUGUAUGACUAAUAGGGAAAGAAUCAAAUUCAGUAAGUAUAGGGUAAACAAUUAGGGCUAAGUUCAGAAAACCUUACUUAAGAAAUAGUCAGUAAUAAUACAUUACUACAACUGACAAGGUAGGUGAAUCAAUUAAUUUGAUUAAAAGGGGUGUAAAUUGAGGGUUUAAAGGAAGGUAUUUUAAUAAAACCAUAAAAUAGGGAAUAUAUAAUCAAUUAAAGAGGAAGUCAUGAUUCAGUAUUCAGCUUAAAAAUAGAGUAAGAUAAGAAUAACCAGACAUAGAAAACAUGCAGGUUAAACGGUAUCGAAAGAAAGAGGCAAGUCUGAAUAAUCAAGAUGAACAUAAGCAUAUAGAGGUGAUAUAAGUUAGGCUAAAAACUCAGUAAGAGCAUAUUCGAAGCAAGAUAAUCACAGAAACUGAAACAAGAAACGAGCAACCAUGCUAAUACACAGAACCAAACGAAGAAGUCUAGAAAAUUCGGCCUUUCAACAUAGAUAAGUUGAAAGGUAGUAAAAUCAUAGAUUCAGUAAAAUUAUGCAAGAGACAGAAGUUUAAACAUUAAAAAUUAGUUUAAAUAAAGUUUCAGCAGAAGUUCCAAUAAGCCUAAUUUUAGAAGAAGAUGAAACUUUUGAAAUCACAUGGUUAUUGUAAAGAGUUAAAAGGAUAGUGUGAAACAUCAAAGCGGCAAACUCAAAUUGUUUUAAAAUCAUACAGAUCUAGGAGAUGUAGGCAGAAAUUAUGGUUUCAGAAGAAACCCAAAGAGAGAUGAAAGAACAUGUGUAGAAUCCCAAGGAUCGUAACAAAUAUAGCAUAAUUUUGCUUGAAAUCAUACUGAAGUAGCCAAGAACAUCCCAGUGACGAACCCCAGGUGCAAGUUGGUGUAGCCCUAGGCCCUUGAAGACCUUAGAAAAGGCAAGCAUGGCAAUAGAGCAGCCAUUGGAGGCUUAGGAGUUGAAGGGUGAUCACAGGAGAAGACCAGAGAAGAAGGUCAGUGGUUGAAGAAGAUAAAGUUUGGUUAAGCGGUUGAGAGAGGAGAGGAGAUGAGAGAAUACUGAGGCGUCG
Molecule: long non-coding RNA, 1742 nt
Filed under: Nicotiana benthamiana
Lineage: Eukaryota; Viridiplantae; Streptophyta; Magnoliopsida; Solanales; Solanaceae
Description: long non-coding RNA (NBEN_LNC013189)
Source: RNAcentral